Molecule: long non-coding RNA, 9142 nt
Filed under: Carica papaya (papaya)
Lineage: Eukaryota; Viridiplantae; Streptophyta; Magnoliopsida; Brassicales; Caricaceae
Description: long non-coding RNA (CPAP_LNC005843)
Source: RNAcentral
AUCUGAAAUAGUUAAUAAAAGAGUGAGUUACGCUAAUCCAAUAAGAAUGUCACACUACUUACCGACACAGAAAUGAAUGUUGGUAAAAAUCAUAAAAAUAACUAAUAGAGCUCUUAAUUUAAGUAAAUUCGUUUAUCAUGAAUAAAAUCAUUUAACGCAUACUUACCAUAGCGAGAUUUCCAAAAUUGACCUAUAAAGGCAAUAGCAUAAAUAAUAUCAUAAUUUCAUAUUCAAUCAGUCGAAAUAACAACUUUCUCAUUUAUCAGCCUACUGGUAUCCAUGGAGGUCCAUAAGAAUGUUCCUACUACGCGUGAACCUUUAUUCAACAUUUUUAACUAACAGACCAUCCCCAUACCUUAUCCGGUAUGAGUGCCAAAAGAUACUAUCUCUUAAUACCACGUCCAGUAUAAGGGCGAAAUGGAUCGUCCCCCAUACCCCGUCUGAUAUGAGCGCCAAAAUACAAAUUCUUGAUACUCCGUUCAGUAUGAAGCAAUGUUCACGGUAGGGUUCCCUAUGUACCCAGUCCAUCCAACAUCUUUCAGGAUAUCAAGUAAGGCUACCAUUCAUCCAUUCACUUAAUCAAAUAAUUUUUCAUUUACCUUUAAUUUCUAGUUUCCCAAUUAAUUGUAAAUCAUGCAAAACAAGCAAUACAUGCAUAAAAAAAACAUAAUCGAAUUAUCAUACUAAUUUCAGUGUAUUAUCAUGCAUUCAAAACUGUAAAAUCAUCAAUCAAUUAAACAUUGCAAACAGUAAUAAAUAACCAGUUCUGACUCUAUUAGUAACCUUUAAUUAUUGAUAGUUUUAAAUUUGUAAAAUACCAUAUUAUUUAUAAUUAAACUUCAAUUCCAUAAGAGAGAAUAAGGUGAGAGAUUCUUACUCAAAUCGAUGUCUGGAAUGCUAAGUUUUUAGCUGCACCUAUUGGCAGUCCCCCGGUUCCCUGAAUUUUUCUUCAGAGAUUAAAGCAUGCUCUAAGUACUUGGAAAUAUACCAAAAAACUAAAAAUCGUUGUUAGAAACCCUUUCCAGCAAAUUUUGAGAUUCCGGCACAACGGUGCCGCCAUGCUCUGGUGACGACACACCGCCCGCAGUGGCAGUUUGCCUUGGGCUAGCCGUCUUUGGCCAGUUUCGGCCAAUUUUGUACUCAUUCCUGUGAGAAAACAUAUUAAGGGGCCUCGGUUAGCCAAAAAAAGUCUAAAAAUAGAGGCUUAUUGGUGGCAGAGUUUUUCGGUGCAGCGGCUCUGCCGGCUCACCUUCGUGAUUAGGUGUUUUGCUUCAGUUAACCUCUAGAAAAAAGAAUGGUGAUUACAAUGGUAGAAAAAUUACACGAAACGAAAUUUGGGAAGGGCCUCAUCAGAUGCAGUUUUUUAUUUUUCCCGCGGCGGUGCCACCGGGCUUUACCUGCGAUUUUUGACUCAUCCGCCAGUUCUUUUUCUCCGAUUUGGCCAUGAGGGUGUUCAAAAUCGAAUUCCGGGCUAACAAAAUUUUUUUUACUCUUUUCGCGGUCGGAGGUGGCUACGGCACUGUGGCGACAGGUGGUCGCUCCCUUCCAGACGACUGGUUCUUCUUCUCCGGGGGGGGGGGGUCUGGUGGGUAGGAUUAGAGUUUGAUGUGAAAUGAGGUAUUUAUAUUCGUCUCUUUUUAAUCUGGAUUGUCUAUCGCGUUUGAUCUACACUGUCCGAUCACGUUUAAAAAAGAAGUGAAUCUGGACCAUUCAUCGCUAUUUGAUCUAUAUCGUCCGAUCGCGUUUAAAAGGGAAACGGAUCCUAACCGUCAACACGCACGGGAACAAAUUCAGACUGUCUGAUCGCGGUUAGACGGAUUGCCAGCAUGACCUUUCGUGUGGUACCGCGCCAACGUGCCUUACCACACGGCGUGCUUCGGUUAAUCGAUACUGCUUACUAGGCAUCAUACGUGGUAUAUUUUUUAUAAAUUACAUUUUGACCUCUAGUUUUUUAUUUUUCUUUCAAAAUCAACAACAGAAUCUAAAUUUUCAUCCAUUUUUCCCAAAAUUAUUUUCAGUUUCAUUAUCCACAUAUUUUUUCCUAAUUUUUACAUCAAAUAAAAAUUCAUAAAUUAAAAAAUAAAUUUUCAUACAUUAAUUUUAAAUUUUUUUAAAAAAUUAAUUAAGAAUAUUACAACUCUCCCCCCUUAAAAGAAAUUUAGUCCCUCAAAUUUGUCUCUCUCUCACUCAAUCAAAUAGUUGGAAAUAUUGGGCUCUGAAAUCUGAUUCUAGCUCCCAUGUUGCCUCUCCCUAUAUGUGAUUCUGUCAUAGGACUUUAAUGAAAAGAAUUUUUCAGUUGCGGAGUACUAUGCGCUUUCGGUCCAUAAUACCGACCGGUACCUCCUCGUAGGACAGAUCCUCCUGUAGUGAAAAAAGCUCAUGGGCCAAGAUGUGAGGGGGUUCGGAUUGUACUUUCGUAGCAUGGAAACAUAAAACAUAUUAUGGACCCUGAAAAGUUCUGGAGGCAGUGCCAGUCUGUAAGCGGCGGUGCCAAUUCUGUAUAAGAUUUUAAAUGGCCCAAUAAACCGAAAAUUUAAUUUAUCCCUCUUGCCAAACCUACUGAUUUUCUUGAAUGGAGUGACUUUAAGAAACACCCGAUCACCUUUCUUAAAUUCUAAAUCUCUCAUCCGGGUAUCCGCUUAACUCUUCUGCCUGCUAUGAGCCAUCUGGAUGUUCUUCCUGAUCUUAACUAUUUUGGCUAUUGUCUCCUCCACAAGAUUUGGACCAAACAAUCUUCUAUCACUCAUCUCUUCCCAACAGAUUGGCGAUCUGCAUGGGAGGCCAUAUAAUGCCUCGUACGGAGCCAUGACAAUACUUGUUUGGUAGCUAUUAUUAUAGGCGAACUCUACUAGGGGUAAAUGAUUAUCCCAAUAGCCUCCGAAGUCAUGAACACAAGCUCGAGGUAUAUCCUCUAGUGUGCGGAUCAUCAUUUCUGAUUGUCCAUUAGUCUGAUGGUAGAAUACAGUACUAAGGGAUAGUUUCGUUCCUAUGUCCUGCUGAAAACUAGAUCAGAACUAAGAAGUGAACCUGGGGUCCCUGUCGGACACUACUAUCACUGGUACUCUAUAUAACCUGACUAUCUCCCGGAUAUACAUUCUUAUUAACUUGUCCAAGAAGUCGGUCAUCCUAAUGGCCAAGAAGUGGGAAGACUUAAUGAACCGGUCAAUAAUUACCCAAAUGACGUCAUGUCCCGAGCGUGUCUUAGGUAGUCUUGUCACGAAAUCCAUUGUGAUAUAUUCCAACUUUUACUCCAGAAUUGAUAAUGACUAAACUAGCCUAUCUGGGCGCUGAUGCUCUGCCUUGACUUGCUGACAUACUAAACACUUGGAAACAAAGUCGGUCACAUCUCUUUUCAUCCCAUUCAACCAAAAUCGGGAUCGCAUACUUUGAUACAUCUCAGUACUUUCAGAAUGCAUGGCAAACUUUGAGAUAUGGGUCUCGGUGAUAAUGUCCCUUUUUAGCUCCCUAUCACCUAGAACACACACCUUGUCCUGAAAUCUAAGCAACCCAUCAGCAGAGACUCGAAAUACUGAAUUAACUCCCUGUUCUGCAUUUUCUUGAGGGCUGCUAGGGUGAAAUCGGCGGAUUGAGCUUCUUUUAUACUCUAGAUUAACUCAGUUGAACAGUCAGAUAGGCCAGACAUGUGAUUCUCUUCAGGUUCUGAAGUUGUUCAUGUUGUGUGAUCCCUAUUGCCCUGCAUUCUGAAACUAUUAGAUGAGCUAAUAUACCUGCACUUUUCCUGCUGAGUGCGUUGGCUACCACGUUGCCCUUACCCUGGUGAUACAAGAUAUUACAAUCAUAGUACUUGAGGAGUUCUAUCUAUCUUCUCUUACGCAUGUUGAGAUCAUUUUGAGUUAAUAUGUGUUUCAAGCUCUUAUGGUCGAUAUAGAUCUGAAAGGUCUCCCCAUACAAGUAAUGGCGUCAAGUCUUCAAGGCGUGGAUAAUUGCAACGAGUUAUAAGUCAUGGGUGGGAUAGUUUUUCUCAUGACUCUUCAACUAUCUGAACCCAUAGGCUAUGAUAUUUCCAUGCUGCAUCAGAACACAACCCAACCCUGGUAGGAGGCAUCACUAUAAACUGUAUAUCCACUUGUCCCGCUCGGCAAGGCCAACACAGGUGCGGUAGUCAACUACUUCUUUAGUUCCAAAAAACUCCUUUCAUAGUCCUCGUUUCACUGGAACUUGACGUUCUUCUUUGUGAGCCGAGUCAAAUAAGCAGCUAGACUAGAAAAUUCCUCCACAAACUUGUGGUAAUAACCUACUAUUCCCAGAAAGUUACAAAUUUUCUUGAUCGAUGUUAAUUUUUCCUAACUGAGUACUGCUUCAACCUUUUCGGAGUUUACUGACACUCUAUCACUUGAUAUGAUGUACCUUAAGAAGAUAGUCUGCUCGAGUCAGAACCUAUAUUUACUCAGCUUUGCAUACAACUUCUUUUCUCUAAGAACCUGCAAAACCUGAAUAAGAUGGUGAGCGUGCUCCUCUCUACUUUUUGAAUAGACCAGGAUAUCGUCGAUAAAUACAAUGACAAACUGAUCCAAGAAUUAUCUGAAAACUCUGUUCAUUAUAUCCAUGAAGAUGGCUGAUGCGUUGGUUAGUCUAAAUGGCAUGACCAAGAAUUCAUAGUAUCCGUACCUGGUCCGAAAAACUAUUUUAGGAAUGUCUUCUGCCUUGAUAUUUAAAUGAUAGUAACCUGAACGUAAGUCUAUUUUGGAGAAGACUUUGGCACCAUGCAACUGAUAAUAAAGGUCAUCGAUCCUAGGGAGGGGUACUUAUUCUUGAUCGUAACCCUGUUCAGUCAUCUAUAGUCAAUACAUAAUUUUAACAUCUCAUCCCCCUUCCUUACAAAUGUGACUCCAGCACCCUAAGGGAACACACUAUAUCGGAUGAAUCCAUUAUCCUACAACGCAUUGAUAUGUUUUUUUAACUUCUUCAUCUCAACACGACUCAUGCAGUAAGGGGCAACCGAAAUAGGCUGAAUGUUUGGCUGAAGGUCUAUGGUGAAUUCAACUUCUCUAUCCACUGGCAGUCCAGGUAGUUCAUGCGAGAACACAUCCAGGAAGUCUCAGACUACCGAAAUCUCUUGAAUAAAAAUUUCUUUCUUAGAUUUGCCUAGUUAGAGAAAAAAGCCGAGUUAAAGCACUUGUUAAUAGGAAAAAUUUCCAUGAGAGAACAAAUGUUAGAGAAUUUUAUUAAUUUGUAAAUGACUCCUCAUUAGAAGGGUUGAAUAUAAGCUUCUUAUGAAAACAAUUUGCAGUGACGUGAUACACCGCUAAUCAGUUCAUUCCUACGAUUACAUCAAAGUCCCCUGUGUCAAUUUUUAUUAGGUCCACACUCAAUUUUUUAUAUGCUAUAUUUAUAACACAGGCUCUGUAUAUAACCUCUCACAGUAGUGUCCUACUCUCAGGAGUAGACACAAACAAUACAGAAUCAAGUCGUUCAGAUAAUAAAUUCAAGUUUAAUGCAAAAGUAUGUGAAACAAAUGAAUGUAAGGCACCAAUAUCAAUCAAAACAUGUGCAAGAUGAUUACAGAUAGUGUACGUACUCUGUAUCACAUCUGGAUUGGCCUCUGCAUCCUGCUGAGUGAGGUUGUAAGCUCUGCCUUGGAUAAAAGGUCUGGUCUAGUUCUGAUUCCUCGGGCACUCCCAUAUAUGCGGCAGGUAUUGUUGAAGCAAUAGCAAGGUCGGUCCCCAUAAUCUUUGCCACAGUGUUGGCAAAUCCUGCCGCGUCCUGUUGUUGGAAUCUGAUGAGGAGACUGAGCCAUUAGUCUAGGUCUCUUGUCUUGCUGAACAGAUGCAGUAGGUGCUGGUUUGUGGUGUGAAACCGAGGGCCUGAGGUUCCCUACUGCUUGAGGAAAAAUGAGAAGGAACCUCUACAUUAGUUGUGCUUUGGCCAACACAACCGAGUAAGUACUGAGCUCGAAUACAUACAGCUGCUGUCUGAUCUAAGGACAGAGGCCCCACUCUAACCUUCAUGCCUUUUUGCCUUCAUCCAUCAUGCUCUCAAGGGAAUACCGGCCCAACUUUAGAACUUUCAAGCAUAUUUUGAUACAGUCAUGUCACCUUGGACUAGGUGAUGUCAGAGAUGUUCUGGGAGGUACUUUGCAUUAAAGGCCAUCAAGAAUUGUUCCCAAGUGAUUGGAACGGGUAAAGUGGCCUGCUUGAGUUACCACCAGUGGCCUGCCUCUCCCACCAGCAUAUAGGUGGCAAGUAUGACUCUCUGUUCGAAAAUCACCCCAAGAGUCGUGAAUGUCUUCUCUGUCUCAGCUAACCAGUAGUCGGCCUCUUCAAAAGAAAAUCCCUCUACAAAAAUAGAUGAGUUUAGUCUUUUAUACCUCUCAAUGUAGUCUGGGUCCAUCAUGGGAGGAGCUGGGUCCCGUGGGAGAGGGACUGGAUUGUGCUGGGGAUGGACUGGAUGGCUCUGUGGUAGAACUAGAUGAUACGGCGGAGGCACUGGAUUGUACUGAAGUGGUAUCGGGUAAUGCGGUUGAGGCACCGGAUCAUAUUGUAGUGGUGCUGGAUGGUACUGUAGAGGAGCAGGGUCGUACCGGGACAGCUCAGGAUCCUCCUGUUGUAGGGGUGGCUCAACCUGUGAUAGCGGGGGAGGGUAAGCUAGUUCCCUCCUUUUCUUUCGGGCUUACUAGGCAGCGAUGAGUCUCUCCAGCAUUUCAAACAAUCGAUCAACAUCUUCUCGAAGCGAACCCUCCAGGACUGCUCAGUUUAGUGGGGGUAUUCCUCUCCUCAUCUAUCUAUACCUGCAUUUCAUAAUGAAUAUUUGAGUGAUAAUUCAUUCUUUGGGAUUUUCUAGGAUUUUUGUGUAAGGAAUGGUUCCGAUGAAUGUUAUUUUGAAACCAAUUGUAACGACCCGAAAAUUAAAAGGAAGUAAAUGAUAAAUUAAGUGCGGAAGCAAAAUAAUAGCGUUAGGGUUUACAUUCCUUACACAAUAAUUUAGAUUACCCAAUAGGGAUAAGAGAAUGACAAUUUUAAAAAAAAUAACGAAAAAUCAAAGAAAUAAAUGAAAAGUAGACAACUGGACAUCCUAUUCGCAACCCUCUUGUAGAUCGGACUCUAGAUCUUAGUCCUUUUGAUCUGAAAUGGUUAAUGAAAGAGUGAGCUACACUAGCUCAGUAAGAAUGUCACACUACUCACCAACAUAAAAAUCAAGGUUGGUAGAAAUCAUAAAAACAACUAAUAGAGCUCUUAAUUUAAGUAAAUUCGUUUAUCAUAAAUAAAAUUAUUUACCGAAUACUUAUCGUAGUGAGAUUUUCAAAACUGACCUACAGAGGCAAUAACAUAAAUAAUAUCAUAAUCUCAUAUUCAAUCAGUGUGAACAACAACUUUCUCCUUUAUCAGCCUAUCAGUAUCUAUGGGGGUCCAUAGAAAUGUCCCUACUACGCGUGAACCUUUAUUCAACAUUUUUAAUUAACAGUCCGUUUUCAUACCCCGUCUAGUAUGAGCGUCAAAAAAUACCAUCCCUCAAUACCUCGUCCGAUAUGAGGGUAAAUGGACCGUCCCCAUACCCCGUCCGGUAUGAGCACCAAAAUACAAAUCCUCGAUACCCCAUCCGGUAUAAGGCAACGUUCACAGUAGGGUUCCCUAUGUACCCGAUUCGUCUACCAUCUUCUAGAAUAUCCAAUAAGGUUGCCAUUUAUUUAUGUACUUAAUCAAACAAUUUCUCAUUUACCUUUAAUUUUCUGUUUCUCAAUUAACUGUAAAUAACGUAAAACAAGUAAUACAUACAUCAAGGAAAUACAAUCGAAUUAUCAUACCAAUUCCAGUGUAUUAUCAUGCAUUCGAAACUGUAAAAUCAAUCAAUUAGUUAAACAUGGCAAACAAUAAUAAAUAACCGAUUCUGACUCCAUUAGUAACCUUUAAUUAUCGAUAUUUCUAAAUUACGCAAAAUACCAUAUUAUUUAUAAUUAAACUUCAAUUCCAUAACAGAAAAUAAGGUGAGGGAUUUUUACUCAAAUUNNNNNNNNNNNNNNNNNNNNNNNNNNNNNNNNNNNNNNNNNNNNNNNNNNNNNNNNNNNNNNNNNNNNNNNNNNNNNNNNNNNNNNNNNNNNNNNNNNNNNNNNNNNNNNNNNNNNNNNNNNNNNNNNNNNNNNNNNNNNNNNNNNNNNNNNNNNNNNNNNNNNNNNNNNNNNNNNNNNNNNNNNNNNNNNNNNNNNNNNNNNNNNNNNNNNNNNNNNNNNNNNNNNNNNNNNNNNNNNNNNNNNNNNNNNNNNNNNNNNNNNNNNNNNNNNNNNNNNNNNNNNNNNNNNNNNNNNNNNNNNNNNNNNNNNNNNNNNNNNNNNNNNNNNNNNNNNNNCAGUUCGUCGAUUUUGCGACUUUGUACUCAUCUGUGAGAAACAUAUAAAGGGGUCUCGGUUAGCUGAAUAAAGUCGAAAAACAGAGGCUUACUAGUGUGGGGUUUUUCGGUACAGCAGCUCCACCAGCUCACUUUCGCAGUUUGGUGUUUUGCUUCGGUCAACCUCUAGAAAAAGAAUAGUAAUUAUAAUUAUGAAAAAAUUGUACAAAACGAGAAUCGAGAAGGACCUCAUCAGAGGCAGUUUUUAAUUUUUUCCACGGGGGUGCUGUAAGGCUUUACCCACAGUUUCCGGCUCAUCUGUUAGUCCUUUUGCUUCGAUUUGGUCAUUGAGGUGUUCAAAAUCGAAUUUCGAGUGAAUAAAAUUUUUAUUUACCUUUUUUGGCAGUCGGAGGUGGCUUCGGCAUGGCGGCGGGAGGCGGUCGACUCCCUUCCUGAUGAUUGGUUCUUCUUCUCCAGUAAGAGGGUCUGGCAGCCAAGGUUAGGGUUUGGUGUGAAGUGAGGUAUUUAUAUCCAUCUUUUUUAAUAUGGACCGUCUAUCGCGUUUGAUCUGAACCGUCCAAUCGCAUUUAAAAGGAGAACGGAUCCAGACCGUCUACACGCGUGGGAACAAAUUAGGAUCGUCCAAUCGCGGUCACGCGAAUUGCCAGCAUGGCCUUCCGCGUAGCACCGCGCCAGCAUGCCUUGCCACGCAGCAGGGUCCGGUUCGUCGAAGCUGCUGACUGAAUGUCCUACUUGACACAUUUUUCUUAAAUUAUAUUUUAACCCCAAUUUUCGAUUUUUCUUUCAAAAACACUUUCAGAAUCCAAAUUUUUACCAUUUUUUUCCAAAAUCAUUUUCUAUU